RNAcentral lists this ribosomal RNA (371 nucleotides) under uncultured Glomeromycotina. RNAcentral's name for it is "eukaryotic LSU rRNA". Lineage: Eukaryota; Fungi; Glomeromycota. The record is from RNAcentral.
UGAAAGGGAAACGAUUGAAGUCAGUCGUACCUGCGGGUAAUCAGCCUUUUGGGCAUGAUUCUGUGGAGCGUGAGGAGUUAAACGCCUUCAUGCCUGCAUAUUCGUGUACUUUGGGUGUACUUGCCUGUGUGGUUAGUUAACAUCAAUUUUGGUUAUCAUAAAAUGGUUGGAGGAAUGUAGCUUCGAUUUCGAUUGAAGUGUUAUAGCCUUCGGCAGAUGUGAUGAUCGGGAUUGAGGAUUGCAACGGAUACCCUUCGGGGCUACCUGUCUGAUCUCUGAUCGUUGCUCUGGUGCCGAAAGCGUGCUUACGGUUAUCAAAGUCGAUGGUUAAUAGGUUAGAAUGGGUUAAAUUCGUUAAGGAUGUUGACGUA